GUGUCAGCCGCCGCGGUAAUACAGAGGGUGCAAGCGUUGUCCGGAAUGAUUGGGCGUAAAGCAUUUGUAGGUGGUUUCUAAAGUCAACUGUUAAAUCCCAGAGCUCAACUUUGGACAAGCAGUUGAGUACUUAGGGACUUGAGUAUGGUAGGGGUAGAGGGAAUUCCUAGUGGAGCGGUGAAAUGCACAGAGAUUAGGAAGAACACCAGUGGCGAAAGCGCUCUACUGGGCCAUUACUGACACUGAGAGAUGAAAGUCGGGGGAGCGAAAAGGAUUAGAUACCCUUGUAGUCCCGACCGUAAACGAUGGAUACUAAGUGCUGUCAAAAACAGUGCUGUAGCUAACGCGUUAAGUAUCCCGCCUGGGGAGUACGCUCGCAAGAUUAAAACUCAAAGGAAUUGACGGGG
RNAcentral lists this ribosomal RNA (407 nucleotides) under uncultured cyanobacterium. Its description in RNAcentral is "bacterial SSU rRNA". It matches the Rfam family "Bacterial small subunit ribosomal RNA", at positions 505 to 918 of the family's 1533-position model. Lineage: Bacteria; Bacillati; Cyanobacteriota. The record is from RNAcentral.